UACGGAGGGGGCUAGCGUUAUUCGGAAUUACUGGGCGUAAAGCGCACGUAGGCGGCUUUGUAAGUAAGAGGUGAAAGCCCGGAGCUCAACUCCGGAAUUGCCUUUUAGACUGCAUCGCUUGAAUCCAGGAGAGGUGAGUGGAAUUCCGAGUGUAGAGGUGAAAUUCGUAGAUAUUCGGAAGAACACCAGUGGCGAAGGCGGCUCACUGGACUGGUAUUGACGCUGAGGUGCGAAAGCGUGGGGAGCAAACAGG
Molecule: ribosomal RNA, 253 nt
Filed under: uncultured bacterium
Lineage: Bacteria
Description: partial 16S ribosomal RNA
Rfam family: Bacterial small subunit ribosomal RNA
Source: RNAcentral